RNAcentral lists this ribosomal RNA (253 nucleotides) under uncultured bacterium. RNAcentral describes it as "partial 16S ribosomal RNA". It matches the Rfam family "Bacterial small subunit ribosomal RNA", at positions 524 to 776 of the family's 1533-position model. The record is from RNAcentral.
UACGGGGGGGGCAAGCGUUGUUCGGAAUUACUGGGCGUAAAGGGCUCGUAGGCGGCCAACUAAGUCAGACGUGAAAUCCCUCGGCUUAACCGGGGAACUGCAUCUGAUACUGGAUGGCUUGAGUUCGGGAGAGGGAUGCGGAAUUCCAGGUGUAGCGGUGAAAUGCGUAGAUAUCUGGAGGAACACCGAUGGCGAAGGCAGCCCCCUGGGCUAACACUGACGCUCAUGCACGAAAGCGUGGGGAGCAAACAGG